ACGCUCGAUACCUACGGGAGGCAGCAGUGAGGAAUAUUGGUCAAUGGGCGCUAGCCUGAACCAGCCAAGUAGCGUGAAGGAUGAAGGCUCUAUGGGUCGUAAACUUCUUUUAUAUAAGAAUAAAGUGCAGUAUGUAUACUGUUUUGUAUGUAUUAUAUGAAUAAGGAUCGGCUAACUCCGUGCAAGCAGCCGCGGUAAUCUGAGCGGGCUGGCAAGGC
This 218-nucleotide ribosomal RNA is filed under the name uncultured bacterium. RNAcentral describes it as "partial 16S ribosomal RNA". It matches the Rfam family "Bacterial small subunit ribosomal RNA", at positions 328 to 539 of the family's 1533-position model. The record is from RNAcentral.